Molecule: transfer RNA, 74 nt
Filed under: Candidatus Meridianibacter frigidus
Lineage: Bacteria; Bacillati; Vulcanimicrobiota; Vulcanimicrobiia; Vulcanimicrobiales; Vulcanimicrobiaceae
Description: tRNA-Glu
Rfam family: tRNA
About the family: Transfer RNA (tRNA) molecules are approximately 80 nucleotides in length. Their secondary structure includes four short double-helical elements and three loops (D, anti-codon, and T loops).
Source: RNAcentral
GGCCCUAUCGUCUAGCUGGCCGAGGACGCCGCCCUCUCACGGCGGUAACACGGGUUCGAAUCCCGUUGGGGCUA